RNAcentral lists this ribosomal RNA (651 nucleotides) under Arthrobacter globiformis. Its description in RNAcentral is "bacterial SSU rRNA". It matches the Rfam family "Bacterial small subunit ribosomal RNA", at positions 558 to 1207 of the family's 1533-position model. The record is from RNAcentral. Lineage: Bacteria; Bacillati; Actinomycetota; Actinomycetes; Micrococcales; Micrococcaceae.
GCGUAAGAGCUCGUAGGCGGUUUGUCGCGUCUGCCGUGAAAGUCCGGGGCUCAACUCCGGAUCUGCGGUGGGUACGGGCAGACUAGAGUGAUGUAGGGGAGACUGGAAUUCCUGGUGUAGCGGUGAAAUGCGCAGAUAUCAGGAGGAACACCGAUGGCGAAGGCAGGUCUCUGGGCAUUAACUGACGCUGAGGAGCGAAAGCAUGGGGAGCGAACAGGAUUAGAUACCCUGGUAGUCCAUGCCGUAAACGUUGGGCACUAGGUGUGGGGGACAUUCCACGUUUUCCGCGCCGUAGCUAACGCAUUAAGUGCCCCGCCUGGGGAGUACGGCCGCAAGGCUAAAACUCAAAGGAAUUGACGGGGGCCCGCACAAGCGGCGGAGCAUGCGGAUUAAUUCGAUGCAACGCGAAGAACCUUACCAAGGCUUGACAUGGACCGGACCGCCGCAGAAAUGUGGUUUCCCCUUUGGGGCUGGUUUACAGGUGGUGCAUGGUUGUCGUCAGCUCGUGUCGUGAGAUGUUGGGUUAAGUCCCGCAACGAGCGCAACCCUCGUUCUAUGUUGCCAGCACGUGAUGGUGGGGACUCAUAGGAGACUGCCGGGGUCAACUCGGAGGAAGGUGGGGACGACGUCAAAUCAUCAUGCCCCUUAUGU